This 295-nucleotide long non-coding RNA is filed under the name Brassica rapa (field mustard). RNAcentral describes it as "long non-coding RNA (BRAP_LNC003791)". The record is from RNAcentral. Lineage: Eukaryota; Viridiplantae; Streptophyta; Magnoliopsida; Brassicales; Brassicaceae.
UUCAAGUUUCUGGUAAUGAAAGUAUAUGCAUCACAGGUAGAGAAACCAAAACAUAUUUAAUAAUAAUAUCUUCAAAGAUGAUCAUCAGGAAGGAACAAAGUAGUUUGGAAUAGUGGUAUCAACGACAACUGGGUAAAAAGAGUGGCAUCAAUCAAUACCUUAAACAAAUAAAUAAAUCCGGUGUUAGUAGAGAAGUCCCUUGCUUCUUUCAGAUUUACAACCUGUUACAUGAUCGAUCAGGUUCAGAAACACUUAUCCUUCAAGAAAAGGAUUUUAUUACAAUAUGCUCGCAGAG